RNAcentral lists this ribosomal RNA (1453 nucleotides) under human gut metagenome. RNAcentral's name for it is "bacterial LSU rRNA". It matches the Rfam family "Bacterial large subunit ribosomal RNA", at positions 1101 to 2569 of the family's 2925-position model. The record is from RNAcentral.
UUGGCUUGGAAGCAGCCAUUCAUUCAAAGAGUGCGUAACAGCUCACUAGUCGAGGAGCUGGGCGUGGAUAAUAAUCGGGUAUGAAACCAGUUACCGAAGCCGUGGGAUGCUUAAGCAUCGGUAGGGGAGCAUUGCAUGCGGCUUAGAAGGCGGGGCGCGAGCCCCUCUGGAGCGCAUGGAAACGCAAAUGUAGGUAUAAGUAACGACAAGGGGGGUGGGAUGCCCCCCCGCCGAAAGACCAAGGUUUCCUGAACAACGCUAAUCGGUUCAGGGUCAGUCGGGUCCUAAGCAUAAGCCGUAUGGCGAGGGCGAUGGACGAAACGGUUAAUAUUCCGUUACUGUCUUGGUGUGUGACGCGGCGACGGAGUAGUGACACGGCCGCCUCCUGACGGAAAAGGGGGUUGAAGCGCAAAGGUGUCGAGGAAGGCAGGCAAAUCCACCUUCCGAGCCGAAGCGCGAAAGUACGCCGGGCCCUUUGGGGCAAGGCGAUAGUGCCGGUAAUCAGACUUCCAAGAAAACCCGCUAAACUUCAGCACCAAGUCACCCGUACUCCAAACGGACACACGUGGUCGGGUAGAAUAUACUAAGGCGCUUGGGAGAUUCACGGUUAAGGAACUAGGCAAAUUGACCCCGUACCUUCGGAAUAAGGGGUCCUCGCUUUUGCGAGGCGCAGAGAAUAGGUCCAGGCAACUGUUUAACAAAAACACAGGGCUGUGCCAAUUUGAAAGAAGAAGUAUACAGCCUGACACCUGCCCGGUGCCGGAAGGUUAAGAGGAGAGCUCAUCAGCGAUGAGAAGGCUUGAAUUGAAGCCCCGGUAAACGGCGGCCGUAACUAUAACGGUCCUAAGGUAGCGAAAUUCCUUGUCGGGUAAGUUCCGACCUGCACGAAUGGUGUAAUGAUCUGGACACUGUCUCAACCGUGAGCUCAGUGAAAUUGUAGUAUCGGUGAAGAUGCCGAUUACCCGCGAUGGGACGAAAAGACCCCGUGAACCUUUACUAUAGCUUAACGUUGUACCCGGGCUGUCGAUGUGUAGGAUAGGCCGGAGGCGUCGAAUCGGGCACGCCAGUGUCCGUGGAGCCGUUGUUGAAAUACGGCCCUUUGGCCGUCUGGGUACUAACUUGGUGAAUCCAAGGACCGCGUUUGGUGGGUAGUUUGACUGGGGUGGUCGCCUCCAAAAGCGUAACGGAGGCUCCUCAAGGUGCCCUCAGGCCGAUUGGUAACCGGCCGCAGAGUGUAAUGGCAAAAGGGCGCUUGACUGGGAGGCCGACAGGCCGCACAGGCAGGAAACUGGAGCAUAGUGAUCCGGCGGUUCCGCAUGGAAGGUCCGUCGCUCAAAGGAUAAAAGGUACUCCGGGGAUAACAGGCUGAUCCCUCCCAAGAGCUCAUAUCGACGGAGUGGUUUGGCACCUCGAUGUCGGCUCGUCACAUCCUGGGGCUGGAGAAGGUCCCAAG